This 404-nucleotide ribosomal RNA is filed under the name uncultured bacterium. RNAcentral's name for it is "bacterial SSU rRNA". It matches the Rfam family "Bacterial small subunit ribosomal RNA", at positions 355 to 776 of the family's 1533-position model. The record is from RNAcentral.
UCGGGAAUUUUGCUCAAUGGGCGAAAGCCUGAAGCAGCAACGCCGCGUGAGGGAUGAAGGCCUUCGGGUUGUAAACCUCUUUUCCCAGGGACGAUAAUGACGGUACCUGGGGAAUAAGCCACGGCUAACUACGUGCCAGCAGCCGCGGUAAUACGUAGGUGGCAAGCGUUGUCCGGAUUUACUGGGCGUAAAGAGCGCGCAGGCGGCCGAGUCAGUCGAAUGUGAAAGCCCCCGGCUCAACUGGGGAGGGUCAUUCGAUACUGCUCGGCUUGAAGAUGGGAGAGGGAAGCGGAAUUUCAGGUGUAGUGGUGAAAUGCGUAGAUAUCUGAAGGAACACCAGUGGCGAAGGCGGCUUUCUGGCCCAUUCUUGACGCUGAGGCGCGAAAGCUAGGGGAGCAAACGGG